CCUACGGGAGGCUGCAGUGGGGGAUAUUGCACAAUGGGGGGAACCCUGAUGCAGCGACGCCGCGUGGGUGAAGAAGCGCCUCGGCGCGUAAAGCCCUGUCAGCAGGGAAGAAAAUGACGGUACCUGUAGACGAAGCCCCGGCUAACUACGGGCCAGCAGCCGCGGUAAUACGUAGGGGGCAAGCGUUAACCGGAUUUACUGGGGGUAAAGGGGGCGCAGACGGCGAUGCAAGACAGGAGUGAAAGCCCGGGGCCCACCCCCGGGACUGCUCUUGAAACGGCGUGGCUGGAGUGCAGGAGGGGCAGGCGGAAUUGCGGGUGUAGCGGUGAAAUGCGUAGAUAUCAGGAGGAACACCGGUGGCGAAGGCAGCCUGCUGGACUGCAACUGACGUUGAGGCCCGAAAGCGUGGGGAGCAAACAGGAUUAGAUACCCCUGUAGUC
This 440-nucleotide ribosomal RNA is filed under the name uncultured bacterium. Its description in RNAcentral is "partial 16S ribosomal RNA". It matches the Rfam family "Bacterial small subunit ribosomal RNA", at positions 338 to 795 of the family's 1533-position model. The record is from RNAcentral.